Long non-coding RNA from Triticum dicoccoides, 568 nucleotides. RefSeq lists it as uncharacterized. Lineage: Eukaryota; Viridiplantae; Streptophyta; Magnoliopsida; Poales; Poaceae. The record is from RefSeq and is a predicted model, not a curated record. The transcript has 2 exons.
ACACAAGAUAGAUUCUAGAUAUACCUGGAAUAUGUUCAUCCGGGUUCAGUUAAUAAGUGCAUUAGUCAACAUUGUGGUGCAAUGACAGAAUCUGUUGUCCACAACUUCACCUGCCAUAUCCUUAAGGGUCUUGAUUUCCUACAGAGCCAAAAAAUUAUGCAUAGAUCUGGAAAUAAGUUUAAAGGAAAGAUUUAGAAGGUGAAGGAGCUGAUAAAGAGCAUGCUAAAUUCUCACUGUCUUAAUCAUUUUUCGUGUACAACACCAUUCAUGUAUAGGUUUGGAGCUUUGUGCCGACAAGAAUUCUCUGAUUGGCAUCAUUUGCAGUAACUGUGGUGAUCCAGGACGCUUUCAAGAUUACAAGUUCAGUAGUGGCAACUUGAACUUAUGUAAGAAUAAACAGAAUGAUUUUUCAUUCUGAAGAGUUUCCUAACUGUUGACUUUAAGCCUUCAUAGUUACAUCGUGGGAUUAUGAAUAAGAUGGUGCUAAUUAUACUUUGAGUGAAUUUCUGGUGUGUAUUAUUCAGACUGGCCCUUGAACUAAAUAAAGAAAAGUCAAAGAUAGCGUGCA